Molecule: long non-coding RNA, 626 nt
Organism: Gopherus flavomarginatus (Mexican gopher tortoise)
Lineage: Eukaryota; Metazoa; Chordata; Testudines; Testudinidae
Exons: 3
Source: RefSeq, a predicted model, not a curated record
AGGGCUUGUCUACAUCACAAAGUUGCAGCGCUGGUGAGGGGGUUACAGCGCUGCAACUUAGGAGGUGUACACAUCUGCAGGGCAUCACCAGCGCUGCAACUCCCUGUUUGCAGCGCUGGCCGUACUCCCGUUUUGUCUCGGGUGUAGAGGAUCCAGCGCUGGUGAUCCAGCGCUGGUAAUCAAGUGUAGACACUUACCAGCGCUUUUCUUGACCUCCGUGGAAUAAGCAGGUAUCCCAGCAUACCUGAGGAAGCCUCUCUGGUAAUCAAGCAGGUCUCCUUCCCUGGUUUGCUCUCGCGUUCCCCGAACCCCCGAGCAAGCAGGUCUCCUUCCCUGCGGUUUGCUCUCGCGUUCCCCGAACCCCCGUGCAAGCAGGUCUCCUUCCCUGCGGUUUGCUCUCGCGUUCCCCGAAUCCCCAAGCAAGCAGGUCUCCUUCCCUGCGGUUUGCAGGGGGGUUCGGGGAACGCGAGAGCAAACCGCGGCGAAGCUGGUCUCCUUCCCCGGUUUGCUCUCGCGUUCCCCGAACCCCCCUUGAAGCCGCCCAACAGCGCUGCAGUGUGGCCACAUCUAACACCACUUGCAGCGCUGGUUGCUGUAAGUGUGGCCACUCUGCAGCGCUGGCCCUA